This is a long non-coding RNA of Stegodyphus dumicola, 9622 nucleotides long. Lineage: Eukaryota; Metazoa; Arthropoda; Arachnida; Araneae; Eresidae. The record is from RefSeq and is a predicted model, not a curated record.
GAAUGUUUUAAAAUUUGCACUGUAAAGAAAAUUUAAUUCAUUGACUCCUGCAUCAGCCAUAGCAAGCUCUGAUACUAGAAUCUGGUAUUGUGUAAACAUAGUCGAAAAUAAUUUUUUCUCUGCUCAUUUGCUGCAACUUCUAUAGCAUUUAAGUGUGAAAUGAGAAAAAAGAUUUGAUAUUCACGAAAAUAGACUUAUGAGAAAAACAUUUAGCCAUUUAGUUGGUUUUUGAGACUAGAAAUAUAUAAAGCCAAAUUAGAAGGUUCUGUCUUCUGUUUUUAAAGUGAGUAAAGUAUCUGAUAAAGCUAUUUCUUUCUUUCUUCCCUAAUUUUUCUUUUAUUUAUUGGAUUUACUUUAUAUAGGCUUUUUAUAAUUUAUUUCUAUCUGAAACAUGUAAUUACUUCAUAGGCAUAACUUAAAUGUUAUUAUAUUUAACCAAUUUGACAUGUAUAAGCAAAUCAAUAGAUUGAUAACACUUUGAGAAAAAUGAAAUUAAUGAAAUUAAAAAAUCUUCCAUGAAAAUGACAGCUUAAUAAUUUUGAAUAAUCUUUGUUAUCUAAGUAUUAAACAUCUUACUUGUUUACAGCAAAUGGAUUUGUGUCCCAGCAAAAUAAAAUGUAUUUCCACUAGAGGAAAAGUUUUGUUGUAAGGAACUUGCAAGCCAAUGAAAUAAAUGCACAGCUGCAUUUUGAAUAACUUUUCUGUAUUAAAUAAGUGUGCAAGUCUCCACAUGUUAAUGUGCAAUAAAUGAUAUCAUAGUAAAUUUUAUUUUACCUUUGCCAUUUUGAACAGCAGAAUUUAGGUGUAAAAUUUUAUUUUCUAUAUCUUUAAUUUCUGGCAGAUUGAUACCUAGACAAUAAUGAUGCAUCGUAUCUACGAAUUCCUUGAUAAAUCUGAAUGCCACAUCUAAAAUUUCUACAUUUAGUGUUUUAUUGGUGUUCCUAUCUAAAAUUACUUCUCAGUUUAUUUUAAAGGGAAUUUAUUGGAAUAUCAAGCAAAUGAUCUAAUCUAGAAAACAUAAUCUCAUUGACAACAUUCUAGCUGCAUCAAAACAAGUCAAAGGAAAGUUCUGUUUCACACUGUUGCUACUUACUCUUAUCAGUGCACUUCUACUACUUUUCGCUUUGCCAUUCAGAGAUAGAAAAAAAUGCUUAUUCAAACCCAGAACAGUACCUAAAUUAUAUGAAAUUAUUAAAAAUAUUGAAUUGAAAUCUGCAUGUCAAGAUCAGACUGCAUUUUUAUAAAUCUUAUGAUUUUAGCAACAUUUUGUAACCAAAAAAAAUUUUGAAUUUUUUGAAACUUUUUUUAGGAUUAAACUGUAAAAGUAAGUAAAUAUUACACAUUAUUUAAGUGCAUUCUGAUGCUGUUUUUAUUAAUUUAGAUUCUAAUUCCUUUGAUAUGACCUCCAUGCGGAAGUCUUUAUCAGCUGAUGUUUAUUCUCAGUCUGCACCUCAAGAUGAAGCAAACUCUUUAGAUAUAUUACUAAGUCCAGACUCUACCUUGAUUCAAUUCGAUGCUUCAGCAGUUCGGUCCAGAACUCUUGGCAAUCCAUUCCAAGCAGCAAAGCCAUCACCAAUGACUAUUAAUGAAAUCAGAGCUCAGAAUUCCCCUCAGGCAUUUCCUAUGUCUGCAGAAAGUAAUCUUCCAACAUCUACCAGCAUGCCUUUGCAGAGUGUGCUGCACACAAAUGCCUCCUAUGUUAGUCAAAAUACCUCAGUAUCGCAAAAUCCUUUCAUGUAAUCACUUAUCUGUAUUUAGGUUUCUUCUAAGUUGCUGAUUUUUGUGUUAAGAGCACUUUUAAGUUAUGAUUUAGUUCACUGUGGUUGUCAUUUUAUUAUUAAAGUAAGAAAUCAGUUUUUUUAGUUUUUAUAUUAGAAUACUUUUUAUAUCUAUAUAUGCGUUAUGUAGUGUUUGUUGUGAGACUUCUGUUUUAUGAAAUAUUAAGGACAGAAAAUAUAUGUUUUGUGUAAAUGCUGGUUUUAAAAAUAAAUGGAGCAAUAAAAAUCGACAUUUAUAUUUAUAUAUUUAAAUAUUUUUAAAAACUUUUAUCAAGAUAUAUGUGCUAUUAAAUAUUGCAUUCUAUUUAUUUUUGCUGUUUUUUCUUUCCCUUUCAUAUUUAUGCAAGAAACAAAUAUAGGAGUGGCCAGCCUUUCAAAUGUCAUUGAGUCAGAAUUUAUUUGCUGCUAUAAUAAAAGCAUUUGUAAAAAUAAUUUUUUUUUAAUAUAACAAGCAUUCAUUUUUAAAACUCGCUGCUGUAUAAAUUACAGUUAAAAUAUGUAGUUCUGAAGAUUUCUCAUUAAUUUUAUUAAGUAAAAUUGUGAUUAAGAAUUUCAGGAUUAUGUAAACUAAAAAGUCCAGUAUAGUAUUAUAUUGUAAAAUUUGUAAUGGACGCUUGUAAAAAUGUGAGUUUUGGGUAAGGUAUUAUAAAAAUUUUGGUUUCUUAUUUCUUUAAAAGACAUCCUAAUCAUUUUUAACCUUUUUAUUUGUCAUAGCUGCCACCUGUCCUAGUUUUUCAUCACAUCUCCUGGUCUUCCAGUAGAUACCAAAUUUGCUGGUUUUUAAUUUUUAGCUUUAAAUGAGGAAAGUGUUUUUCAGCAAUAAAUGAAAUUAGGUGAAUUAAUGAAACUUGAAUUGUGCAAACUGCAUUAGCAAUUUUCAGUAAAAUUUUUAUUCCUAAAUUGUGUUUGAUCUGUAUUAGACAUUUGUAAAAUUUUAUACGAAGAUUGAACCAAAGUUUAAUCAGUUAAUAUUUGUAUUUGUUUUGAAUCAAUAUAUGAUACAUUACUAAAUUUAUCUGCACAUUAAUUAUUAAUGUUGUAAUAGUUUGCUCAUUAAUUAUUAAUGUUGUUUUCAAAUACUUUGAUAAAUUAAAUUUUUCUUUCCUUAUUCAGGAUUUUACCAGCAUAAAGGUGUAAGAAAAUUGCAAACUUAGCCAAAGAACAUAAAAUUUAAACUUAUUAUAUAUAAAGGUGCGGCAAUGACACAGGAUUUUGAAACCUCCACUAGCGGUACAAAUUUAUUUGCAGCAAUAUAAAUUUACAAUGCUUGCAAUUUGUGAGGAAUGUUUCUGAACAACUUCCAUAUCUUGCAUAGAUGUGUCACGGUACAAAAUGUCCAUCACUUGAAAAUCACGUAAUCCAUCACUUGACAUCACGUAGGUGGCCCUUUUUCCUUCAUGCACAUUCUAAGACUUUUAUGGAAGUUAUCCAUCAUAUCUUGCAGGACUGGCAUUGGAAUUAAUUAACUUCAUCCCGAAUUUGAACUUUCAGUUUGUGGAUGGUAUGAGGUGGGUCACACCGGAAGGUCUCAGAUUUCAAAUGAACCCAAAGGAAGAAGUCGCACACUGAAAGUUCAGGGAAUCUUGGAUGCCAAGAAAUGGCUCCAUUUAAUAGAAAUCUGCAAAGUAUGGUGUGUGGCACCAUGUUGUUGUAAGAAUGUGUUUGCAGUUACAGGAAGAUCAACAAGCUGCCGCACUAGUAAAUAUUUCAAUGUAUGAGCAUAACAUUAUUUAUUCACAUUAAUGUGAUCAUCUUAAAAAAAAAAAUAAUAAUAAUAAGGUCCGAUGAUUCCAAAUGAUGAUAUGCUGCACCACACUGACACUUUCUGACUUUGAAGUGGCUUUUUAUGAAGCAUUUCAGGAUUUUCACAGGAUCAGCAUCUAGUUUUGCUUGUUAAAAAAGCCUGACACAUAAAAAUUGACCUCAUUACUCAUCAUCAUUCUCGCAAUGGCCUGAGUUGUCGUUCCGGUAAUUCCGGCAAAAGCCUAGUCUCUUUGGAUGUUCUCCACAUUCAGUUUUUGCACUGUCUGCAUUUUUUAUGGGUUGUAUUGCAGUUCCUUGUGCAGUGUUUGCCGUACAUUGCAUUCCGAUAUAUCAAUACUCCGAUAUAUAUAUAGUUGCAGUGCAUGCUUGCGUGCAGAACGCCUGGCACUUUGGUUGAAAACUUCUUCCACUCUUGCCACAUUCUCUGGUAUGCACAACCUUUUUGCACUUCCACUCCUCUUUCUAUGCUGCAUGGCCACAUAGCUGUUGUUUUUGUAAAUGCCUUCAUGGCAAAAAGCACGUUGUUUGCUGGUCCUUGAUGCCAUCUCGACUGAACACCAAUAUCAGUAUCAAUGGCUAAGGUUUAUUGUCCAUAUGGCACCACUACUGCUUUUUGAUUCCUAAUGUAACUUGCUAUUUCCAAGAUUGCCAAAUUGCCCAUUUCAUUAUAAAGCAAAUUAAGACAAUCUGGAAUUCUUUUGAAAUAAUGCUGCCAUGCGGCUUGGGGGGGGGAACCUCUUGGUAACUUACGGUUUUUAAUGUAAGAAUAUUGUGGUGUUUUAUAUUUCAAGAUUGGUUGGCACCUGUUAUAUAUAUGUGUGUAUGAUAUGAUGUUUUUUUUUUUUUUUUUUUUUUUUUUUUUUUAUGGAAAGAGGAAAUCUGAAUUAUGUUUGAGUCAUGGCUUAGAUGCCACGACUGCUUGAUGAUGAGAUUUGCGUAGAUCAUAACUGGGGUAAAAAUCACAACUGGCUUGAUGGUUAAGACAUUUUUUACAGCACCAGUUAUUCAGAAAUAUUAAAACUGGGACAACACAAGCAGUGUUAAGCAUGCCCCACAGUUUCAAUAUAUGUAGUUUACAUUUUAGGCACUGAAAAAGAAACCGAAGUGAGAAACACAGUGUGCUCAAGCAACACCAAGUGUAAAAAAGCACUGCAUACUCACUUCAUUUUAUUUGUAGCUGGAAAGUCAUUGUGUUAAUCCUGAGCAGCAACUGGGCUACAAAUGUUGCAUUGCAGAGAGAUUGCACAGAAAGAUGCGAUGUAGUGCGUGGCAAAGUGACACAGCGAAGCGUCACUCUCUAAGCAGGCCUGCAUUUAAUUCAAAUUUAUGAAUUGUAAGAUCGAUUGCCAGUUGAUUUCAGUUAAGUUUAAUAAUUUUGUUUCAUAUUUUAUAUAUAUAUUUAUAUUGUAUAAGGAUUGUAUUAUAAGUAGUUGAAUAACCUAAUUUAUGCAUUAUAAAGCAAAUUAAAAUAAUUUUUAAUUCUUUUGAAAUAUGGGGUAAAAAAACCCUCCCAGUAACUUUCGGCUUUUAAUGCAAGAAUAUCCUGGUGUUUUAUAUUUCAAGGUUGGCAGCUAUGAUCUGUGAGCAAAGGAUGAAAACUUUGCUAAAAUAUGAUUAAGAAAACUGGAGGUAAAACAGUGAGUGAAAUACAAGAAUUCCAAUAUCCUCCCCCUCAAAAAAAUUGUUGAGACAAUAAAUGAAAUAAAAAAUUACUAAAAAUAAGCAUUUUUCCUCAUUUGUAUUAUUCAAUUGCAGAUAUUGAAUACAUAAGAUGCUCUUUACAUAAAAAUGAACAGUACAUGUCAAAUGUUAAGUUCAGUAAAUAGCACAAAUAAAUUAAAUUCAAUAAAAAAUGUUAAAGACCAAAAGGUUAUAGCUUUUCUCUUAUUCAGAGAUUAUUAUGAAAAUAUUUAGUCCUGGUGAAAGAGGACUUGCUGUCCAUUAAAAUGCAUUAAGCUUCCUGAUACUAUGCCAAACUUUUUUUAAUUGACAUUAAUUCUAGAUAAAAUUGGUUUAUAAAAAAGUACCUAUUACAAUUCGUUAGUGAUAUUGAUUUUAGUCAAAUACUUUUAAUCAUAUUUUGGAGCCUUUAAGUUGUAAUAUCAAAAGUAUUUUCCUAUGACCCUCUCAAUAACUCAAAAGUAUUUUAAAGUUAUAUUAUUUGUUGUUUUUUUAGAAGUUCUGUAAGUAUUCAUGAAUAAUUGUUCUUCUGUUAACCUAGUAGAGUUCCAAUUAAAGAUGCUUUCUUUAUAUAGAUUUUAUUGUUUGUAAUUAAAAUUUUCAGUUUUUUCUUUUUGCAUACAUAUUCAUUGCCAUAAAUUGCAAACAUGUAAGAGAAAGGACAGAAUAUUUUCUGUGAUAUGUGCAGCCUUUUAUGCAUCAUUUCAAAAAUUAGUAAAUAAUGUAAAGUUUGUAUUAUGUAAAAGUUUAUAUGCAUUAUGUAAAAGUUUGACCACUUCUGCUGUAAUACUUAGAGAAAAUGUAAAAUUAACCCAUCUUCUUAAUGUGUCUCCCUUGUGAGGGAAUAAUUUUUCACUAUAUAUGUUCUCUUUUCUCCUAUCACUUUCAGUGCACUCUUUUUAUUUAACUCUGUAUUCUGAUUCAAACUAGACUUUUUUUUUUAUUAUCUUCUAGUAGUAAAUUGUAUAUAUUACUAGUGAGAUGGAAGUUUUGUAAAAAAUAUCAAUUAUCAAUUUCUUAUAUCAUAAUAAAGUAUUUGCAUAAUUGUGUUUUAUGCAAAGUAUUGGCUAUAAGCUCACGCUUAUAUUUUCAUUUGAAAUACAAUAUGUAAAAUGAAUUUUAUGAAGAAUCUCUAUGCAUUUUAAAAACUUGAAAUAUGUAAAUUAAGCUGUGCAAUGAUUACUUUGCUCAUAGUAAGUGUUUUGCUUUAAUUCUUCAGAAUUGGUCCAGAAGAAUAAUUAAUUUUUAUAUUAUAUAUAUAUAAUGAGCCAGUAUUUUUUGACAUCUAUAGUAAGUUAAGUUGUUAAUGUGAAACAUUUUAGAGUAACUAGUAGCAAAAUAAAUUUUUGCUGUAUAAUAAAUUUGGAAGUUUUGAUGAUGUUUAAAUGUUUUUGCAGUUAAUGUUAUGUAGUCUUUUAUGACCCCUUUUGUUUAAUAUUUUAGCAGUGUUUGAGAAUCUUGUGUAUAAUUGUCUUAUUAAUAUAUCACAUUAACACAUUACCUAUUAUGAUAUAAUGGUUGCACCAUAUAGAAAAUAUUGCAUCACUUGAAAUUGCUUCAUAGAGUUUUAUGAAAUUACAGCUGAAUGAUAACAAGCUAAUUUUCAUCCUCGCAAAUGGAAUUACAGUAUAGUAAAGAUUCAGAUUUAUACUGUGACAUGAAAGUUAUUGGUUUUAAUUGGAACUUUUAAAUAGGUAAGCUUUUUAAUAAUUAAUGAAGAGUGGUGCAAAUCAUAUUUAAAUUUGAUAAAAUAAUAUAUUUAAGAGGUGGGGGUAGAAAGGUGUGAGGAGAAUUUAUAAAAGAAACAUUUUAAAGUACAAUUUAACUUAAACCAAAGAAUAAAUUUGUUAAAUAAAUGUUUAUUUAGGGUGGAUAAGAGGGUGAUGGAUGUUUUAGAAAAGUGGGAAAGAGUUGCAGUGUGUCUCAAUGUUUGGUACCUGAACUUUUUAUUUUGGUUCUUAUAACUAUGGUUUAAUUCUUAGCUUCUAUUAAAUAUAUUUUGAUUACACUUUUUAUAUGUAUAUUAUGAAAAUGUUUUUCACUUAGAACAGGCUGUAUGAUAUGUGGCUGUACUUAUUAAAAUACUUAAUUUUUAAUUAUUUAUAUUAUGCAUAAUUUCUUUGCUGAUUAUAAUCUUUAAUUGUUUCCAGGAAUGUAAUAUAGGAAUGUGCAUACAACCUGAAAAAAAAAAUGGUUUUUAAUUUUUUUUUAAGAAAUAAAUAUGAGUAAAAUGAAGUGAAAAAUAAAUCUAUGACAUAUUUCCACACUUCUUUCUCUUUAGAACUAUAGAACACAUAAUAUAUUCCAGGUGACACACAAUUUCUUGUAUUUAAAAAAAAAAAAAAAAAAUGGUGAAAUUUGUACCUCAAUAAUAAGCGACUUUUUAUAGCAAAAUAUGAUAUUUAAUAUUUACCCGGUUUUUAGUUUUAAGCUAAGCAAUUUUUUAUAUUAUUUAAAAUGCUAAAAAAAAGUGCUGCAUAUAUUAUUUUUUGUUGUUUUUAAAUGUAAAAAUAUGCUGCAUGUAUUAUUUUGUGUUAUUUCCUGUAAUGUAAAUAUAAAUAAACACUGCAAUUUUGAUAAAGAAUGGAUAUGUGCUUACAUUUGAUAAACUUAAUGGAAUGUACAUUUGAAAAACUGUAUGCAUGAUUGUGUUUUUUAAACAUCUGAAAACGUUUUUAAAAAGUGCAUUUUUAUGAAAACGGGCAUUUAGCAUUUCUGAUUUCUGAGCAAAUGUUUCAUUUUUUGACUGAUAUAGAAAUGCUUUUCCUUGUUUCUUUUAUAUAUAUAUAUAUAUUUAAAACAGAAAUAUUUCUAACAAGUAACUGGCAUAUUUUAUCAAGACUUAUUAUAAAUUGAGAAGUAUUGUUUUUUAAUUAUAUAUCACAUAUUUCAAAUUUUAAGAUAUUCAGUAAUUUAAAUGAAAAUUCUUUAAAAUGCAUAUCACAGUAUAAAUUAUAGUUAUGUAGAACUGAACCUUUUGAUACAAAUUUCAGUAAAAAACAGGCUUGGUAAAAGCAUGUAACCACAUCUUUGUCAGGUGUAUUAAUGAUUUUUUUCAAUUUUUGUUAAUAAUAGAAUCUUCAUUUGAAGAAGUUUUGCAGUGAAUUUUUGCAAAAGGUUAUUUAAAAAUGUAGUUAAACACUCUUACAGUCAUACAUGUUGUAUGUUUUAUAGGCAUACUGUGUUAAAUCAAAAGCAAAAUUAUAGUUUAAAAGGAAGAAUAAACAUGAGAGAUGGAUGUAGGAUUAGUAAUAACCCAUUUGCAUCAUUUAGUUAGCAUAAAAUAUUUGUCAUAAGUGAUCACAGAAAUAAGAGCAGUGAUUCAAGCAGAACCAUAUAUAUUCAUUUAUCAAGUACAGUAUGCUAUUCCUAUAGAAAUUUUACACAAAAACUUUGAAGAUUAUUUUUCUGUAAUCACAAACAAGGGAAUAAUUUUCAUAUGUUUUUAUUCUGAACUAACUUAAUUUGAAUUGAAUUGAUCAUACUGUGCUUUUCAAUGUUUGCAUAUUUACUUUUUAAAAUAUUUUCAUUAAACUCAGUGCUUGACUUAAUAUCUUCUUCUGGUUUUUUGUUUUUUUGUUUUUUUUUACUGCUUGAGACAGGAAAAAAAGUUAUUGCAAGUGAUACAAAGGCUACAUAUAUAUAUUUAAUUCACUGACUACCUCUUUAUAUCUUAUAAAAAAUAUGACUCAAAAACUUAGUUUAUAUGCAAAAAAUCUGUGUGAAAGAAUAAUUGUAAAAAAUUUAGAAAAUUAUGUAAGAAAAAUUGAACACUUUAAAAGAAGAGAUUAUCAUAGAAAUGCUAAUAAUUCUGGCAUAUUUGAUUCUGAUUUGAAAAAAGACAAAAUAUAUAUCUAUUGAAACUUUCAUGGCUGUAGUAUUUAGAAUUGAAAUCAUUCUAAGUAUUUUUGGGUUUGCAAUCAAAUUAUCUGUCUGUCUAUCAGCUCAAGUAAAUUUCAGAGUAUUUCUUUCUUUGAUGCAAAUGGGUGAACUUUUUAAAAUGUACAUGCUUCUUUCCCUCUUAGUUUAAUAAAUGUGUAAUAAACAUACAUUUAAAAACUGUUCUACCUUCUGCUAGGUUCUGAAGAGUUUUCCUUGUGUAUAACAACUGAUUAUGUACAUUGUUCAAAAUAAACUGAAAUCUGUUUGUGAAAAAUUACAAAUUUCAUCAGUUGUUCAAAUAAACUGAUAUUUGUUUGUGAAAAAUCACAAAUUUAUAACUUGCUGAUGUAUUUGUAUCUGAAUCUAGCUCCGUAGCUUAGUGUGUACAAUAUAUAUUGUUUAACUUUAAUAAUUGCAGUACUCUGAUGAGGUUUUUUAAUAUGCUCUGUAGAUUUACAAUAAGAUUUCUUAUAUAUUUAAUGAAGUUUAAUAAAUAAAUAAAACUCCUGUUAAAUUUA